Molecule: long non-coding RNA, 202 nt
Filed under: Homo sapiens (human)
Lineage: Eukaryota; Metazoa; Chordata; Mammalia; Primates; Hominidae
Description: HSALNT0349396
Source: RNAcentral
CUUCCACCGGUUGUGAUUUUGUCCCAGGAGAAUGUGUGCACACGGUGGCCACCAGAGGGAGCCCUUCAGCGACAGAGGAUGAGAGCUGCAGGAUGGACAAGAACUACAGCGAGAAAAGGGAGACAGAAGAGGAUGGACGUUGCUUUGCAAUCAAAUUGCAGAUUUUUUUCCCAUGCUUACUGUGUUUGGGAAAAAAAAAAAG